Molecule: ribosomal RNA, 253 nt
Filed under: uncultured bacterium
Lineage: Bacteria
Description: partial 16S ribosomal RNA
Rfam family: Bacterial small subunit ribosomal RNA
Source: RNAcentral
UCCAGAGGGGGCAAGCGUUAUUCGGAAUUAUUGGGCGUAAAGGGCGCGUAGGCGGCUUUUCAAGUGACGGGUGAAAUCCCUCGGCUUAACCGAGGAACUGCCUGUCAGACUGGAAGGCUUGAGACCGGGAGAGGUGAGUGGAAUUCCCAGUGUAGCGGUGAAAUGCGUAGAUAUUGGGAGGAACACCAGUGGCGAAGGCGGCUCACUGGACCGGAACUGACGCUGAGGCGCGAAAGCCAGGGGAGCGAACGGG